Molecule: ribosomal RNA, 1376 nt
Filed under: uncultured bacterium
Lineage: Bacteria
Description: bacterial SSU rRNA
Rfam family: Bacterial small subunit ribosomal RNA
Source: RNAcentral
AGAGUUUGAUCCUGGCUCAGGAUGAACGCUGGCGGCGUGCUUAACACAUGCAAGUCGAACGACUAAACCGCCCUCGGGCGGACAUAGAGUGGCGAACGGGUGAGUAACACGUGACCAACCUGCCCCCCGCUCCGGGAUAACGCGGCGAAAGCCGCGCUAAUACCGGGUACUCCGGCGAGGCCGCAUGGCCCCGCCGGGAAAGCUCCGGCGGCGGGGGAUGGGGUCGCGGCCCAUCAGGUAGUAGGCGGGGUGACGGCCCACCUAGCUUUCGACGGGUAGCCGGGCUGAGAGGCCGACCGGCCACAUUGGGACUGAGAUACGGCCCAGACUCCUACGGGAGGCAGCAGUGGGGAAUUUUGCGCAAUGGGGGGAACCCUGAUGCAGCGACGCCGCGUGGGUGAAGGAGUAUUUCGGUAUGUAAAGCCCUAUCGGCAGGGAAGAAACCAGACGGUACCUGACUAAGAAGCCCCGGCUAACUACGUGCAAGCAGCCGCGGUAAUACGUAGGGGGCAAGCGUUAUCCGGAUUCACUGGGUGUAAAGGGAGCGUAGACGGCCAGGCAAGCCUGGAGUGAAAGCCCGGGGCCCAACCCCGGGACUGCUCUGGGAACUGUCCGGCUGGAGUGCGGGAGGGGCAGGCGGAAUUCCUGGUGUAGCGGUGAAAUGCGUAGAUAUCAGGAGGAACACCGGCGGCGAAGGCGGCCUGCUGGACCGCGACUGACGUUGAGGCUCGAAAGCGUGGGGAGCGAACAGGAUUAGAUACCCUGGUAGUCCACGCCGUAAACGAUGACUACUAGGUGUCGGGGGACGACAGUGCCCCGGUGCCGGCGCAAACGCAAUAAGUAGUCCACCUGGGGAGUACGUCCGCAAGAAUGAAACUCAAAGGAAUUGACGGGGACCCGCACAAGCGGUGGAGCAUGUGGUUUAAUUCGAAGCAACGCGAAGAACCUUACCAAGGCUUGACAUCUCGAUGACGAAUGUAGAGAUACAUUUUUUCUUCGGAACAUCGAUGACAGGUGGUGCAUGGUUGUCGUCAGCUCGUGUCGUGAGAUGUUGGGUUAAGUCCCGCAACGAGCGCAACCCUUAUCUUCAGUAGCCAGCAUAUAAGGUGGGCACUCUGGAGAGACUGCCGUGGAUAACACGGAGGAAGGUGGGGAUGACGUCAAAUCAUCAUGCUCCUUAUGUCUUGGGCAACACACGUGCUACAAUGGCUGGAAACAAAGUGAAGCGAGACGGUGACGUUAAGCAAAGCACAAAAACCCAGUCCCAGUUCGGAUUGUAGUCUGCAACUCGACUACAUGAAGCUGGAAUCGCUAGUAAUCGCGAAUCAGAAUGUCGCGGUGAAUACGUUCCCGGGCCUUGCACACACCGCCCGUCA